Molecule: long non-coding RNA, 763 nt
Filed under: Olea europaea subsp. europaea
Lineage: Eukaryota; Viridiplantae; Streptophyta; Magnoliopsida; Lamiales; Oleaceae
Source: RNAcentral
CCCAAUCCGAUGGAUAUCUGUUUAUAAAAAUUCUCCAAUCAACCAUACCCACCCUCACUCUCUCUCUCCCUCUCUCCAAAAUUGUUUAUGAGAAUCUUCACUAUAAGGAGUUGAAUGAUGGAGCUCUCAUUUGCAAGAUAUAGUUGCACACUUUUACUCCCUGACUAGUGCCUAACCUUGAUUUGGAUUUGGAGAAGCAGAAGCUGAAUGUUCAAUAUGGUCUCGAAUUUAAAUUUGGCUCUGUGUUGAUGUGGACAGAAAAAUCAGCUAAGGAUAGUGGAAUUUUAUUCAUGGACCAAACAUUCUCGCAUAAAUAAAAGCAUGAAAAAUUAUUACAGAUUCAAGCAAUCAUAUUAUGUAAUGAAAAAAAAUAAAAUUAAAAGAAAUAUAUAAAAGGAAAAAUCAUAUACCCAUUAUACCACUAUCAUAACCAAAAAUCAAUCAUCCCAUGACUGCAGCCAUUAGUGUUAUGACCACAUGCCGUGUGAGUUUUCUGAGGUACUUUGCAAGAUCGUCAUCUCGACCACCGUGGCUAAUAGCAAUAGUAGCAAAUCCCAUCUCCGACCCUUGCAAAUAAUAGCAAUAACCACCAUUUUUCAUCUUCCUUCAAUUUAGAUUGGGGAUUUUGGCGCCGAUUUUGCCACCUUUCAUGGUUGUUUCGGUGCUCGGUGUUGGACUAGGGUUUUGAGAGAGAGACUAGAGAGGGUGGAAGGAGAGAGAGAGAGAGAGAGAGAGAGAGAGAGAGAAUAGAUUGAGGGGGGAG